AUGGCUUCUUCUUCCGUGCUGCUCGGAGCCUCGGCCACGGCCGCGCUCACCGGCACCCCGGCAGGCAAGGCCCUUCCCCGGCCUUGCUUCCUCGCCGCUCGCCCGCGCACCGUGAGCGGUGGCCGUCUCUGCCUGCAGAACGCUCCAAGGGCGACUCCGGCGUACAACGACGCUGCGGAUGCCACCGACAAGGCCAUCGACGGCGUGAAGGGGGUGGCCGACGAGUUGAAGAAGGGCGUGGCGGAGGCUGCGGAGGCCGUCUCGGGCAACACCGAGAAGGCCGCGGAGGAAGCCGGCAAGGGCGCGAGCGAGGUGGACGCGAAGGCCAAGGACUUCGGCGAGCAGGCGAAGAAGGCGACGGAGGAGGCGUGGGACGGCGCCAAGGACGCCGCACAGGGCAUCACGGACAAAGUCGCCGCCGCGGCCAAAAAGGAAGCUAGCUAA
Molecule: ribosomal RNA, 444 nt
Filed under: Triticum aestivum (bread wheat)
Lineage: Eukaryota; Viridiplantae; Streptophyta; Magnoliopsida; Poales; Poaceae
Description: partial small subunit ribosomal RNA
Source: RNAcentral